RNAcentral lists this transfer RNA (75 nucleotides) under Deltaproteobacteria bacterium. Its description in RNAcentral is "tRNA-Gly". It matches the Rfam family "tRNA". From Rfam's summary of the family: Transfer RNA (tRNA) molecules are approximately 80 nucleotides in length. Their secondary structure includes four short double-helical elements and three loops (D, anti-codon, and T loops). The record is from RNAcentral. RNAcentral also lists the same sequence under 3 other names. Lineage: Bacteria; Pseudomonadati; Myxococcota; Myxococcia.
GCGGGAGUAGCUCAGUGGUAGAGCACAACCUUGCCAAGGUUGGGGUCGCGGGUUCGAGUCCCGUCUCCCGCUCCA